RNAcentral lists this small RNA (115 nucleotides) under Marmota monax (woodchuck). Lineage: Eukaryota; Metazoa; Chordata; Mammalia; Rodentia; Sciuridae. The record is from RNAcentral.
GCCAGGAGUGAUGGCACACACCAGUAGUCCUAGCUCCUGGAGGCUGAGGUGGGAAGUUUGCUUGAGUUUAUGAGCUCAAGGCCAGCCUGGGAAAUAUUGUGUUAACCCACCUCAA